UGACCUCAAAUCAGGUAGGACUACCCGCUGAACUUAAGCAUAUCAAUAAGCGGAGGAAAAGAAACUAACAAGGAUUCCCCUAGUAACUGCGAGUGAAGCGGGAAAAGCUCAAAUUUAAAAUCUGGCGGUCUUUGGCCGUCCGAGUUGUAAUCUAGAGAAGUAAUGCCCGUGCUGGACCGUGUAUAAGUCUCCUGGGAUGGGGCGUCAUAGAGGGUGAGAAUCCCGUCUUUGACACGGACUACCAGUGCAUUGUGGUAUGCUCUCAAAGAGUCGAGUUGUUUGGGAAUGCAGCUCAAAAUGGGUGGUAAAUUCCAUCUAAAGCUAAAUAUUGGCGAGAGACCGAUAGCGAACAAGUACCGUGAGGGAAAGAUGAAAAGU
RNAcentral lists this non-coding RNA (378 nucleotides) under Agaricus bisporus var. burnettii JB137-S8. RNAcentral describes it as "Eukaryotic large subunit ribosomal RNA". It matches the Rfam family "Eukaryotic large subunit ribosomal RNA", at positions 1 to 372 of the family's 3401-position model. The record is from Rfam by way of RNAcentral. Lineage: Eukaryota; Fungi; Basidiomycota; Agaricomycetes; Agaricales; Agaricaceae.